RNAcentral lists this ribosomal RNA (253 nucleotides) under uncultured bacterium. Its description in RNAcentral is "partial 16S ribosomal RNA". It matches the Rfam family "Bacterial small subunit ribosomal RNA", at positions 524 to 776 of the family's 1533-position model. The record is from RNAcentral.
UACGUAGGGGGCGAGCGUUGUCCGGAUUUAUUGGGCGUAAAGAGCGUGUAGGCGGUUCGGUAAGUCUGUCGUGAAAUCCCUCAGCUUAACUGGGGAACUGCGUCUGAUACUGGAUGGCUUGAGAUUGGGAGAGGGAUGCGGAAUUCCAGGUGUAGCGGUGAAAUGCGUAGAUAUCUGGAGGAACACCGGUGGCGAAGGCGGCAUCCUGGACCAACAUUGACGCUGAGGAGCGAAAGCUAGGGGAGCAAACGGG